AGAAUUACUGUGGAGGUUCGUGCAGUUUCGGGACUCCGAAAGUUGGUGACGUAUUUGACACAAACUCUUUCCAUACCUGGAUAUUUCGGCCCAGCCACGAGUUGUGAGGCUCAUGAAGGACAUAGGGGAGUCCUAGGAAGGUUCUAGAGGUGCCCAAGAGCCCUUGGAUCAAAGGGGCAUCCAUCCCAUGGCCUAGAUUGCAUCUUCAACACUAUAUAUUGAUGGGAAACCCUAUUUUUGGAGGCCCCCAAGCAUUGUCACGAAAAUCCUCCUCCUUGGCAGCAGCCAAGGAGGGGGAAACACUCAUCUACACCAGCACCAACUCAAGGAAGAAGAAGGCUAAGGGGCGGCGCUCCCCCAUGAUGCCGGCGGCGGGGAAGGAGUCCCCCGCGCCGCCGCCGCCGCCGCCCACGCCUCCGCCUCCCGGCGCUCCUCGCUGAGCCCUCCAACGUCUUCACCGCCAUCUCCAUCACCAACUCCUCAUUGUUUUCAAUGGUACAUCCUCUCACAAACCUCUGUACCGCCC
This is a non-coding RNA of Lolium perenne, 526 nucleotides long. NCBI's taxonomy places the organism in Eukaryota, Viridiplantae, Streptophyta, Magnoliopsida, Poales, Poaceae. The record is from RefSeq and is a predicted model, not a curated record.